This 163-nucleotide small nuclear RNA is filed under the name Dasypus novemcinctus (nine-banded armadillo). RNAcentral's name for it is "U1 spliceosomal RNA (ENSDNOG00000031160.1)". It matches the Rfam family "U1 spliceosomal RNA". From Rfam's summary of the family: U1 is a small nuclear RNA (snRNA) component of the spliceosome (involved in pre-mRNA splicing). Its 5' end forms complementary base pairs with the 5' splice junction, thus defining the 5' donor site of an intron. There are significant differences in sequence and secondary structure between metazoan and yeast U1 snRNAs, the latter being much longer (568 nucleotides as compared to 164 nucleotides in human). The record is from RNAcentral. Lineage: Eukaryota; Metazoa; Chordata; Mammalia; Cingulata; Dasypodidae.
AUACUUACCUGGCAGGGAAGAUACCAUGAUCAUGAAGGUGGUCUUCCAGGGUGAGGCUUAGCCAUUGCACUCCAGAUGUGCUGACUUCUGAGACUUCCCCAAAAGCAGAAAACUUGACUGUAUAAUUUGUGGUACUGUGGGACUGUGUUAGUGUUCUCUCUUG